Molecule: ribosomal RNA, 402 nt
Filed under: Verrucomicrobiota bacterium
Lineage: Bacteria; Pseudomonadati; Verrucomicrobiota
Description: Verrucomicrobia bacterium partial 16S ribosomal RNA
Rfam family: Bacterial small subunit ribosomal RNA
Source: RNAcentral
UGGGGAAUAUUGCACAAUGGAGGGAACUCUGAUGCAGCGACGCCGCGUGAUUUAGAAGGCCUUCGGGUUGUAAAAAUCUUUUGUAUGGGAAGAAAAUGACAGUACCAUACGAAUAAGGACCGGCUAAUUACGUGCCAGCAGCCGCGGUAAUACGUAAGGUCCGAGCGUUGUCCGGAAUCAUUGGGCGUAAAGGGUACGUAGGCGGAUAAGCAAGUUAGAAGUGAAAUCCUAUAGCUCAACUAUAGUAAGCUUUUAAAACUGCUCAUCUUGAGGUAUGGAAGGGAAAGUGGAAUUCCUAGUGUAGCGGUGAAAUGCGCAGAUAUUAGGAGGAAUACCGGUGGCGAAGGCGACUUUCUGGCCAUAUACUGACGCUGAGGUACGAAAGCGUGGGUAGCAAACAGG